This 465-nucleotide ribosomal RNA is filed under the name Vreelandella stevensii. RNAcentral describes it as "partial 16S ribosomal RNA". It matches the Rfam family "Bacterial small subunit ribosomal RNA", at positions 338 to 795 of the family's 1533-position model. The record is from RNAcentral. Lineage: Bacteria; Pseudomonadati; Pseudomonadota; Gammaproteobacteria; Oceanospirillales; Halomonadaceae.
CCUACGGGUGGCUGCAGUGGGGAAUAUUGGACAAUGGGCGAAAGCCUGAUCCAGCCAUGCCGCGUGUGUGAAGAAGGCCUUCGGGGUGUAAAGCACUUUCAGUGGGGAAGAAAGCCUUGGGGCUAAUACCCUCGAGGAAGGACAUCACCCACAGAAGAAGCACCGGCUAACUCCGUGCCAGCAGCCGCGGUAAUACGGAGGGUGCGAGCGUUAAUCGGAAUUACUGGGCGUAAAGCGCGCGUAGGCGGUCUGAUAAGCCGGUUGUGAAAGCCCCGGGCUCAACCUGGGAACGGCAUCCGGAACUGUCAGGCUAGAGUGCAGGAGAGGAAGGUAGAAUUCCCGGUGUAGCGGUGAAAUGCGUAGAGAUCGGGAGGAAUACCAGUGGCGAAGGCGGCCUUCUGGACUGACACUGACGCUGAGGUGCGAAAGCGUGGGUAGCAAACAGGAUUAGAUACCCUAGUAGUC